Dama dama (fallow deer) is the source of this 447-nucleotide long non-coding RNA. RefSeq lists it as uncharacterized. The record is from RefSeq and is a predicted model, not a curated record. The transcript is spliced from 2 exons. Lineage: Eukaryota; Metazoa; Chordata; Mammalia; Artiodactyla; Cervidae.
UUCCAUGCAGAGGGGACUAGAAAAGGGAAGUCAAGCAAAUGCGUGAACUGUCAGGGGAGCUGUGAGGUUUUUCCUGAAGCAAGAAAAUGUCGUUUCCUGGAGAGAAAGAGAAAGGCCAGAUCUUGGGGGACUUUGCUGGGUCAUCUGAGAAAUGUGGGCCUGUUGACAGCCUCCUUCUCUCAACAACACCUUCUACCCGAAGGUGACUGCUGUUGUUCAGUCGGACAUGUAAAGAUUUUAUUGCUUGUGUGAUUAUCUGCGAGGUGGCCCUCACCGGUAUUCAGCUGUGACGUCCAAGGGAACGAGGACAGGUUGCCAUCUGUCUUUCCUACUCCAUCAGCAGUCCCAUCCCCAAGUUGGUGCCACCGUAUCAUAUGAGUCAUAUUAUCUUUGUGGAGUAAAACUCAUAAAAAUAAUGGUAAUAAAUAAUAAAAACAGUGCCUUGCA